RNAcentral lists this ribosomal RNA (402 nucleotides) under uncultured bacterium. Its description in RNAcentral is "bacterial SSU rRNA". It matches the Rfam family "Bacterial small subunit ribosomal RNA", at positions 355 to 774 of the family's 1533-position model. The record is from RNAcentral.
UAGGGAAUUUUGCGCAAUGGGGGAAACCCUGACGCAGCAACACCGCGUGAAUGUUAAGCCCUUCGGGGUGUAAAGUUCUGUCAGUAGGGACGAAAUUUGACUGUACCUACAAAGGAAGCACCGGCUAACUCCGUGCCAGCAGCCGCGGUAAUACGGGGGGUGCAAGCGUUAUCCGGAUUUAUUGGGUUUAAAGGGAGCGUAGGCGGAUUAUUAAGUCAGUUGUGAAAGUUUGCGGCUCAACCGUAAAAUUGCAGUUGAUACUGGUAGUCUUGAGUGCAGUAGAGGUGAGCGGAAUUCGUGGUGUAGCGGUGAAAUGCGUAGAUAUUAGGAGGAACACCAGUGGCGAAGGCGGCCUGCUGGGCUUUUACUGACGCUGAGGCUCGAAAGCAUGGGGAGCAAACA